GCUUGCACUAGAAAAACUUAGCGGCGAACGGGUGAGUAACACGUAAAGAACCUGCCUCAUAGACUGGGACAACUAUUGGAAACGAUAGCUAAUACCGGAUAACAGCAUUAACUGCAUGGUUGAUGUUUAAAAGUUGGUUAUGCUAACACUAUGAGAUGGCUUUGCGGUGCAUUAGCUAGUUGGUGGGGUAAAGGCCCACCAAGGCGACGAUGCAUAGCCGACCUGAGAGGGUGAUCGGCCACACUGGGACUGAGACACGGCCCAGACUCCUACGGGAGGCAGCAGUAGGGAAUCUUCCGCAAUGGGCGAAAGCCUGACGGAGCAACGCCGCGUGAGUGAAGAAGGAUUUCGGUUCGUAAAGCUCUGUUGUUAGGGAAGAAUGGAUAUGUAGUAACUAUACAUGUAAGAGACGGUACCUAACCAGAAAGCCACGGCUAACUACGUGCCAGCAGCCGCGGUAAUACGUAGGUGGCAAGCGUUGUCCGGAAUUAUUGGGCGUAAAGCGCGCGCAGGUGGUUUAAUAGGUCUGAUGUGAAAGCCCACGGCUCAACCGUGGAGGGUCAUUGGAAACUGUUAAACUUGAGUGCAGGAGAGAAAAGUGGAAUUCCUAGUGUAGCGGUGAAAUGCGUAGAGAUUAGGAGGAACACCAGUGGCGAAGGCGGCUUUUUGGCCUGUAACUGACACUGAGGCGCGAAAGCGUGGGGAGCAAACAGG
This 714-nucleotide ribosomal RNA is filed under the name uncultured Bacilli bacterium. RNAcentral's name for it is "bacterial SSU rRNA". It matches the Rfam family "Bacterial small subunit ribosomal RNA", at positions 75 to 776 of the family's 1533-position model. The record is from RNAcentral. Lineage: Bacteria; Bacillati; Bacillota; Bacilli.